This is a small nuclear RNA of Erinaceus europaeus (western European hedgehog), 119 nucleotides long. Lineage: Eukaryota; Metazoa; Chordata; Mammalia; Eulipotyphla; Erinaceidae. The record is from Ensembl.
GUGUUGUAUGAAAGGAGAGAAGGUUAACACUCCCUUGGCAAGGAAAGAAGAGGCUUUGGCCUGCAGCGCACAUAUGGUUUGGGCUGGGUCGGGGUGCACCUGGUUGAGCACACGUUACA